UCAAAUAGUAUAAGCAUCCAA
This 21-nucleotide non-coding RNA is filed under the name Caenorhabditis elegans. Lineage: Eukaryota; Metazoa; Nematoda; Chromadorea; Rhabditida; Rhabditidae. The record is from RNAcentral.